UGAGUUGGAAUUUUGAAGAGGAUUGCAUUGAAUCUGUAGAUUGCUUUUGAUUCUGCAGCAAAACUUGCAUCUUCCUACACUGACAGAGACAGUUCACAAGAUUGCUACAAUAAGUCUAGUCUAAGCCUCUGUUGCAGCCACCACCACCAUACCAUAUGAAAUUACGGACAACAAUGACUGCAGAUGAAUGUGGAUUAGCCUUGGACAGAGCCAAUUGUGGGUUACAUAUUAAAAAUGUUU
Mastomys coucha (southern multimammate mouse) is the source of this 240-nucleotide long non-coding RNA. RefSeq lists it as uncharacterized. The record is from RefSeq and is a predicted model, not a curated record. The transcript is spliced from 3 exons. Lineage: Eukaryota; Metazoa; Chordata; Mammalia; Rodentia; Muridae.